UACGAAGGGGGCUAGCGUUGCUCGGAAUCACUGGGCGUAAAGCGCACGUAGGCGGAUUGCUAAGUCAGGGGUGAAAUCCUGGAGCUCAACUCCAGAACUGCCUUUGAUACUGGCGACCUUGAGUCCGGGAGAGGUGAGUGGAACUGCGAGUGUAGAGGUGAAAUUCGUAGAUAUUGGGAAGAACACCAGUGGCGAAGGCGGCUCACUGGCCCGUAACUGACGCUGAGGUGCGAAAGCGUGGGGAGCAAACAGG
This 253-nucleotide ribosomal RNA is filed under the name uncultured bacterium. RNAcentral describes it as "partial 16S ribosomal RNA". It matches the Rfam family "Bacterial small subunit ribosomal RNA", at positions 524 to 776 of the family's 1533-position model. The record is from RNAcentral.